This 309-nucleotide long non-coding RNA is filed under the name Ananas comosus (pineapple). Its description in RNAcentral is "long non-coding RNA (ACOM_LNC035192)". The record is from RNAcentral. Lineage: Eukaryota; Viridiplantae; Streptophyta; Magnoliopsida; Poales; Bromeliaceae.
ACGAAGGAGAGGAUGAAGAUCUCCUUCUUGAUCUUCUUCUCUUUCCUCUUAUUCUUCUCUUCUUCUCCUUCCUCUUCUUCUUCUCUUCUUCUUUUCCUUUCUUUCUUCCUCACGAUCAGAGAGAGAGAAAGAGAGAGUGAUGAGGGAGAGUGAGGGAGUGAGUGAAAGAGAGAGAGAGAGACCUCUCUCUUAACCCUACACAUGGCCAUUUUGCACGUAAGCCCCUCACUUUUCCAUCUCUCAACUUGCUCUCACUGGGCUGAACCCGCGUGGAGGGACCGGUCUCCCCGACCUGGGACCCGUCCCAGA